This 287-nucleotide long non-coding RNA is filed under the name Phascolarctos cinereus (koala). RNAcentral's name for it is "lncRNA (ENSPCIG00000032319.1)". Lineage: Eukaryota; Metazoa; Chordata; Mammalia; Diprotodontia; Phascolarctidae. The record is from RNAcentral.
UUCUCCCAUUGGCCUGGACCUUAUUUAGGGUUAUGUGCACUUGUUACUCAUUGCUUUUGUAUCUCUGUUUCUUUCCAGGCUCUUCACUAGUUGAGAAUUUGACCUGAUUGUCUCCGGCAAUUACUAUUUUUCCUUUUACUUAUAGCUGCACAGCUUUGCCUGUUCCCCAGAGUCUAACACUUUCCCGAAAGGGGAGCACAGGAGCGGAACUGAUGGCAGCUCUUCCGACAGCCAGGCCCCAGGUGAGCUGUGCUUCUCUCUUCCUUUCUCAAGAUGUGAGAAUAUUG